This 302-nucleotide ribosomal RNA is filed under the name Anopheles culicifacies. Its description in RNAcentral is "eukaryotic LSU rRNA". It matches the Rfam family "Eukaryotic large subunit ribosomal RNA", at positions 698 to 963 of the family's 3401-position model. Lineage: Eukaryota; Metazoa; Arthropoda; Insecta; Diptera; Culicidae. The record is from RNAcentral.
ACUUGAACACCCACAGGCGAAGACAACUCGAAAGUUAUCACGGGAUUACGGGUUCGGCCGAUGGCGCAAGCCUUCGUCGGGCCCCUCCAUCCCAGGGUGUCCCGGUACGGGUGCUUGCACCCAGCGGACAUCCCCGGAGUGCGUAGGAUGUGACCCGAAAGAUGGUGAACUAUGCCUGAUCAGGUCGAAUUCAGGGGAAACCCUGAUGGAGGACCGAAACAAUUCUGACGUGCAAAUCAAUUGUCAGAGUUGGGCAUACUUGCGAAAGACCAAUCGAACCAUCUAGUAGCUGGUUCCUUCCG